Molecule: ribosomal RNA, 495 nt
Filed under: Triticum aestivum (bread wheat)
Lineage: Eukaryota; Viridiplantae; Streptophyta; Magnoliopsida; Poales; Poaceae
Description: partial small subunit ribosomal RNA
Source: RNAcentral
AUGACAGUGCACGAGCUGCCGGCCUGGGUCCUUAAGCGCAUGAUAAAAAAUUGUCGGUCCUGGCUAUGGAGUGGAGAGUCUUCGGCGAGCGGCGGUAACUGCAGGGUAGCCUGGAACCUUAUAUGUCGCCCAAAGCAUCUAGGAGGCCUGGGUGUGCUCGACUUGGCCAAGUUCGGAAGAGCCCUCAGACUCCGCUGGCUUUGGAUGGCCUGGCAAAGACCCCAAAGGCCAUGGGCAAUCUCCCCCCUGCCAUGCUCGAAGGAGGAGAGGCAAUUAUUUGCAAUGGCUACUGAAAUUACUGUUGGAGAUGGACAAUCAAUCAACUUCUGGCAGGACCGCUGGCUGCAAGGUUGCUGCCCAAUGACUAUUGCCCCAUCGCUCUUUUCAAUCUCGGCAAGGAAAAAUAGAUCGGUAUCUGGCGCGUUACAUGAGGAGACAUGGAUCAAGGUCUCUCCAGCGACAUGGUUCCUGAGCUCACCAACCUGGCCGCGUUGA